GUUGUGGAUGAACGGACGAAGCUUCUAGUUCAGACAGCAUCGCUGAUAGCUGUGGUUCGUGCCUGGAUCCUGUUGGUCCAUAAAAGAGUUGUUCGUCGGAAUAAGAAACCUCUCAUCCAGUAUGGUCCGAUGUUAACCAGGGAUAAGAGGAUAGCGUAUCUGAACUACAUCUACAACUGCAACGACACAGAGGCUCUGUGGAUGUUUCGAAUGAAAAGAGCUCCGUUCGCCAGGCUUGUGCAAACGUUCAGGAACAGGGGUUUGCUAGAAGAUAGCAUCCACACCACUGUGGAAGAGCAAGUAGCCAUGUUCCUCCAUGUUGUUGGUCAUAAUCAGAGGUUCAGGAUUGUACACAACACUUUCAGGAGAUCAAUGGAAACCAUCUCCAGAUACUUAUAGCAUGUGUUGUAUGUUGUUGGGGAGCUUAGAGCAGAGAUGAUCAGGUCACCAACCGGCCGAACUCUUACCAAGAUUCUCACUAGCCCAAGAUGGUAUCCAUACUUCAAGGUCAGCACUGACAGUAUGUAG
This 528-nucleotide ribosomal RNA is filed under the name Triticum aestivum (bread wheat). RNAcentral describes it as "partial small subunit ribosomal RNA". Lineage: Eukaryota; Viridiplantae; Streptophyta; Magnoliopsida; Poales; Poaceae. The record is from RNAcentral.